This 1461-nucleotide ribosomal RNA is filed under the name metagenome. Its description in RNAcentral is "bacterial SSU rRNA". It matches the Rfam family "Bacterial small subunit ribosomal RNA". The record is from RNAcentral.
GGAGUUUGAUCCUGGCUCAGGAUGAACGCUAGCGGCGUGCCUAAUGCAUGCAAGUCGAACGGGAUCCUUUGAUUCGUCGAAGGUGAGAGUGGCGAACGGGUGAGUAACACGUUGGUGACCUGCCCCAGAGAGGGGGACAACCAGUGGAAACGCUGGCUAAUACCCCGGAUGUCAAGGCUUUUAGAAACCCUUGACUAAAGCUCCGGCGCUCUGGGAGGGGCCUGCGGUCCAUCAGCUAGUUGGUAGGGUAACGGCCUACCAAGGCGAAGACGGAUGGGGGGCGUGAGAGCGUGACCCCCCACACUGGUACUGACACACGGACCAGAUACCUGCGGGUAGCAGCAGCAAGGAAUAUUGCCCAAUGGACGAAAGUCUGAGGCAGCAACGCCGCGUGAAGGAUGAAGGCUUUCGGGUUGUAAACUUCUUUUUUGGGGGAAGAGAAAGGACGGUACCCCAAGAAUAAGAUCCGGCUAACUACGUGCCAGCAGCCGCGGUAAAACGUAGGGAUCGAGCGUUAUCCGGAUUUACUGGGCGUAAAGCGCGUGCAGGCGGUUUUUUAAGUCGGACGUGAAAGCUCCUGGCUCAACUAGGAGAGGCCGUUCGAAACUGGAAGACUUGAGGAUGGUAGAGGUAAGUGGAAUUCCCGGUGUAGUGGUGAAAUGCGUAGAUAUCGGGAGGAACACCAGUGGCGAAGGCGGCUUACUGGGCCAUUCCUGACGCUGAGACGCGAAAGCUAGGGGAGAGAACGGGAUUAGAAACCCCGGUAUUCCUAGCCGUAAACGAUGUCAACUAGGUGUAGGGGGUAUCCAACCCCCCUGUGCUGUAGCUAACGCGUUAAGUUGACCGCCUGGGGACUACGGCCGCAAGGCUAAAACUCAAAGGAAUUGACGGGGACCCGCACAAGCAGCGGAGCGUGUGGUUUAACUCGAGCUACGCGAAGAACCUUACCAGGGUUUGACAUGUACGUGGUAGGAAGGUGAAAGCCGACUGACCCUUCGGGGAGCGUACACAGGUGCUGCAUGGCUGUCGUCAGCUCGUGCCGUGAGGUGUUAGGUUAAGUCCUGUAACGAGCGCAACCCUCGUCGUUAGUUAUACGUGUCUAACGAGACUGCCGGUGAUAAGCCGGAGGAAGGCGGGGAUGACGUCAAGUCAGCAUGGCCUUUAUAUCCUGGGCUACACACACGCUACAAUGGCCGGUACAAUGGGUUGCCAAGCCGCGAGGCGGAGCCAAUCCUUCAAAGCCGGUCUCAGUUCGGAUUGUAGGCUGCGACUCGCCCGCAUGAAGUCGGAGUUGCUAGUAAACGCGCGUCAGCAACAGUGCGUUGAAUACGUUCCCGGGUCUUGUACACACCGCCCGUCACGUCAUGGAAGUUGGCAACGCCUGAAGUCAGUGGGCUAACCCUAACGGGAGGCAGCUGCCCAAGGCGGGGUCGGUAACUGGGACGAAGUCGUAACAAGGUA